Molecule: small RNA, 29 nt
Filed under: Bombyx mori (domestic silkworm)
Lineage: Eukaryota; Metazoa; Arthropoda; Insecta; Lepidoptera; Bombycidae
Description: ovarian small RNA-31143
Source: RNAcentral
UGAAUCUGCUACAUUGUGAGUAUUCCAUU